RNAcentral lists this ribosomal RNA (161 nucleotides) under uncultured bacterium. RNAcentral describes it as "partial 16S rRNA". It matches the Rfam family "Bacterial small subunit ribosomal RNA", at positions 358 to 511 of the family's 1533-position model. The record is from RNAcentral.
GGAAUCUUCCACAAUGGGCGAAAGCCUGAUGGAGCAACGCCGCGUGUGUGAUGGAGGGUUUCGGCUCGUAAAACACUGUUGUAAGAGAAGAAUGACAUUGAGAGUAACUGUUCAAUGUGUGACGGUAUCUUACCAGAAAGGAACGGCUAAAUACGUGCCAG